UAGUGGCGAACGGGUGAGUAACACGUGGGCAAUCUGCCCUUCACUCUGGGACAAGCCCUGGAAACGGGGUCUAAUACCGGAUAACACUCCUGCCUGCAUGGGCGGGGGUUAAAAGCUCCGGCGGUGAAGGAUGAGCCCGCGGCCUAUCAGCUUGUUGGUGGGGUAAUGGCCUACCAAGGCGACGACGGGUAGCCGGCCUGAGAGGGCGACCGGCCACACUGGGACUGAGACACGGCCCAGACUCCUACGGGAGGCAGCAGUGGGGAAUAUUGCACAAUGGGCGAAAGCCUGAUGCAGCGACGCCGCGUGAGGGAUGACGGCCUUCGGGUUGUAAACCUCUUUCAGCAGGGAAGAAGCGCAAGUGACGGUACCUGCAGAAGAAGCGCCGGCUAACUACGUGCCAGCAGCCGCGGUAAUACGUAGGGCGCAAGCGUUGUCCGGAAUUAUUGGGCGUAAAGAGCUCGUAGGCGGCUUGUCACGUCGGAUGUGAAAGCCCGGGGCUUAACCCCGGGUCUGCAUUCGAUACGGGCUAGCUAGAGUGUGGUAGGGGAGAUCGGAAUUCCU
Molecule: ribosomal RNA, 564 nt
Filed under: Streptomyces sp. 331H03
Lineage: Bacteria; Bacillati; Actinomycetota; Actinomycetes; Kitasatosporales; Streptomycetaceae
Description: bacterial SSU rRNA
Rfam family: Bacterial small subunit ribosomal RNA
Source: RNAcentral